Molecule: small nucleolar RNA, 93 nt
Filed under: Manihot esculenta (cassava)
Lineage: Eukaryota; Viridiplantae; Streptophyta; Magnoliopsida; Malpighiales; Euphorbiaceae
Description: small nucleolar RNA snoR114
Rfam family: small nucleolar RNA snoR114
Source: Rfam by way of RNAcentral
GAGCUGUGAUGAGUCGUGUGCUUUGUGGUUGAUGGUGGGGUCCGUCACCUUCCGUCUGAUUUACCGGACGAUAAAUCGAGCGCAUCUGAGCUC